UACCAGCACCCCGAGUGGCCGGGACGAUUAUUGGGCCUAAAGCAUCCGUAGCCGGUUUUACAAGUCCUCCGUUAAAUCCAACUGCUUAACAGAUGGGCCGCGGAGGAUACUAUAAGACUAGGAGGCAGGAGAGGCAAGCGGUACUCAGUGGGUAGGGGUAAAAUCCGUUGAUCCAUUGAAGACCACCAGUGGCGAAGGCGGCUUGCCAGAAUGCGCUCGACGGUGAGGGAUGAAAGCUGGGGGAGCAAACCGG
Molecule: ribosomal RNA, 253 nt
Filed under: uncultured bacterium
Lineage: Bacteria
Description: partial 16S ribosomal RNA
Rfam family: Archaeal small subunit ribosomal RNA
Source: RNAcentral